RNAcentral lists this ribosomal RNA (467 nucleotides) under uncultured bacterium. RNAcentral describes it as "partial 16S ribosomal RNA". It matches the Rfam family "Bacterial small subunit ribosomal RNA", at positions 28 to 507 of the family's 1533-position model. The record is from RNAcentral.
GACGAACGCUGGCGGCGUGCUUAACACAUGCAAGUCGAACGGAAAGGCCCUGCUUUUGUGGGGUGCUCGAGUGGCGAACGGGUGAGUAACACGUGAGUAACCUGCCCUUGACUUUGGGAUAACUUCAGGAAACUGGGGCAAUACCGGAUAGGAGCUCCUGCUGCAUGGUGGGGGUUGGAAAGUUUCGGCGGUUGGGGAUGGACUCGCGGCUUAUCAGCUUGUUGGUGGGGUAGUGGCUUACCAAGGCUUUGACGGGUAGCCGGCCUGAGAGGGUGACCGGCCACAUUGGGACUGCGAGACGGCCCAGACUCCUACGGGAGGCAGCAGUGGGGAAUAUUGCACAAUGGGUGGAAGCCUGAUGCAGCAACGCCGCGUGCGGGAUGACGGCCUUCGGGUUGUAAACCGCUUUCGCCUGUGACGAAGCGUGAGUGACGGUAAUGGGUAAAGAAGCACCGGCUAACUACGUG